CGUAACUCCUUGCUGCACAAAGCCUCGCACGAGAGCGCCAUCUGACAGGAGGGCCCGGGGUCCCCCGCCAGCCCUGCGGGGGCCUCCCCAGUGGGCCCACGUGAAGAUAGGGAGCCUCUUAGGCCAGAAGGGGUGCAGAUAGCCU
MicroRNA precursor from Equus asinus (donkey), 145 nucleotides. The record is from Ensembl. NCBI's taxonomy places the organism in Eukaryota, Metazoa, Chordata, Mammalia, Perissodactyla, Equidae.